This 652-nucleotide ribosomal RNA is filed under the name uncultured bacterium. RNAcentral's name for it is "bacterial SSU rRNA". It matches the Rfam family "Bacterial small subunit ribosomal RNA", at positions 33 to 681 of the family's 1533-position model. The record is from RNAcentral.
ACGCUGGCGGCAGGCCUAACACAUGCAAGUCGAGCGGUAGAGAGAAGCUUGCUUCUCUUGAGAGCGGCGGACGGGUGAGUAACGCCUAGGAAUCUGCCUGGUAGUGGGGGAUAACGUUCGGAAACGGACGCUAAUACCGCAUACGUCCUACGGGAGAAAGCAGGGGACCUUCGGGCCUUGCGCUAUCAGAUGAGCCUAGGUCGGAUUAGCUAGUUGGUGGGGUAAUGGCUCACCAAGGCGACGAUCCGUAACUGGUCUGAGAGGAUGAUCAGUCACACUGGAACUGAGACACGGUCCAGACUCCUACGGGAGGCAGCAGUGGGGAAUAUUGGACAAUGGGCGAAAGCCUGAUCCAGCCAUGCCGCGUGUGUGAAGAAGGUCUUCGGAUUGUAAAGCACUUUAAGUUGGGAGGAAGGGCCAUUACCUAAUACGUGAUGGUUUUGACGUUACCGACAGAAUAAGCACCGGCUAACUCUGUGCCAGCAGCCGCGGUAAUACAGAGGGUGCAAGCGUUAAUCGGAAUUACUGGGCGUAAAGCGCGCAUAGGUGGUUUGUUAAGUUGGAUGUGAAAUCCCCGGGCUCAACCUGGGAACUGCAUUCAAACUGACUGACUAGAGUAUGGUAGAGGGUGGUGGAAUUUCCUGUGUAGCGG